GUGUCAGCAGCCGCGGUAAGACAGAGGUCCCGAGCGUUAGGCGGAAUCACUGGGCUUAAAGCGUGUGUAGGCGGACUUCUAAGUACCUUGUGAAAUCCCACGGCUUAACCGUGGAACUGCUUGGUAUACUGGUUGUCUUGGGCCAUCUAGGGGCUACUGGAACAAACGGUGGAGCGGUGAAAUGCGUAGAUAUCGUUUGGAACGCCAAUGGUGAAAACAAGUAGCUGGGGAUGUGCCGACGCUGAGACACGAAAGCCAGGGGAGCGAACGGGAUUAGAAACCCCAGUAGUCC
RNAcentral lists this ribosomal RNA (292 nucleotides) under uncultured bacterium. RNAcentral's name for it is "partial 16S ribosomal RNA". It matches the Rfam family "Bacterial small subunit ribosomal RNA", at positions 505 to 796 of the family's 1533-position model. The record is from RNAcentral.